RNAcentral lists this ribosomal RNA (504 nucleotides) under uncultured bacterium. RNAcentral's name for it is "partial 16S ribosomal RNA". It matches the Rfam family "Bacterial small subunit ribosomal RNA", at positions 28 to 523 of the family's 1533-position model. The record is from RNAcentral.
GAUAAACGCUAGCGGCAGGCUUAACACAUGCAAGUCGAGGGGCAGCAUAGAUUGUAGCAAUACAAUUGGUGGCGACCGGCGCACGGGUGCGUAACGCGUAUGCAACCUACCCGUCACAGGGGGAUAAUCCGGAGAAAUCUGGUCUAAUACCCCAUAACAUAUGGAUCGGCAUCGGUUCAUGUUGAAAUUUUCGGAGGUGACGGAUGGGCAUGCGUAGCAUUAGCUUGUUGGUGAGGUAACGGCUCACCAAGGCGACGAUGCUUAGGGGGACUGAGAGGUUGUCCCCCCACACUGGUACUGGGACACGGACCAGACGCCAUCGGGAGGCAGCAGUGAGGAAUAUUGGUCAAUGGGCGCAAGCCUGAACCAGCCAUGCCGCGUGCAGGAUGACGGCUCUAUGAGUUGUAAACUGCUUUUGUACGAGGGUAAAGUGGGUUACGUGUAACCUUUUGGAAGUAUCGUACGAAUAAGGAUCGGCUAACUCCGUGCCAGCCGCCGCCGUAA